GCAUGAGUACAAGCUAAUGGUCCUUGGUUCAGGAGGUGUUAGGAAGUCUACUCUGACAAUUUAGUUUAUUCAGGGAAUUUUUGUUGAAAAAUAUGAUCCAAUGAUAGAAGAUUCCUGCCAAAAGCAAAUUGAAGAAGAUUGCCAAUAGCGCAUGCUCAAAAUCUUGGAUAUAGCAGGGACAGAGCAACUUACAGCAAUGAGGGAUUUGUGUAUGAAGAAUAGCCAAGGUGUAUUCUAUAACAGCUCAGUCCAUGUUUAAUGACUUACAGGACCUGAAGGAACAGAUUUUAUAGGUUAAGGACACAGAAGAUGUUUCAAUGAUUUUGUUGGGAAUAAAUGUGACCUGGAGAUGAGUGAGUAGUUGGCAAAGAACAGGCAGACAGUGGUAUAACUCUACCACGCCCGGCUCAAAGUUAAACUUUAAUGAGCUAUUUUGUGACCUGGUCACAGAUAAAUAGAAAAACACCAGUGGAAAAGAAGAAACUUAAAAAGAAAUCAUGUUUGCUGCUC
This 510-nucleotide long non-coding RNA is filed under the name Homo sapiens (human). Its description in RNAcentral is "non-protein coding lnc-SLC46A1-1:1". The record is from RNAcentral. Lineage: Eukaryota; Metazoa; Chordata; Mammalia; Primates; Hominidae.